AGUGAACGCUGGCGGUAGGCCUAACACAUGCAAGUCGAACGGCAGCACAGUAAGAGCUUGCUCUUACGGGUGGCGAGUGGCGGACGGGUGAGGAAUACAUCGGCAUCUACUUUUUCGUGGGGGAUAACGUAGGGAAACUUACGCUAAUACCGCAUACGACCUACGGGUGAAAGCAGGGGAUCUUCGGACCUUGCGCGAUUGAAUGAGCCGAUGUCGGAUUAGCUAGUUGGCGGGGUAAAGGCCCACCAAGGCGACGAUCCGUAGCUGGUCUGAGAGGAUGAUCAGCCACACUGGAACUGAGACACGGUCCAGACUCCUACGGGAGGCAGCAGUGGGGAAUCUUGGACAAUGGGCGCAAGCCUGAUCCAGCCAUACCGCGUGGGUGAAGAAGGCCUUCGGGUUGUAAAGCCCUUUUGUUGGGAAAGAAAAGCAGCAGGUUAAUACCCCGCUGUUCUGACGGUACCCAAAGAAUAAGCCCCGGCUAACUUCGUG
Molecule: ribosomal RNA, 492 nt
Filed under: uncultured bacterium
Lineage: Bacteria
Description: partial 16S ribosomal RNA
Rfam family: Bacterial small subunit ribosomal RNA
Source: RNAcentral